This 289-nucleotide ribosomal RNA is filed under the name uncultured Alphaproteobacteria bacterium. RNAcentral describes it as "partial 16S ribosomal RNA". Lineage: Bacteria; Pseudomonadati; Pseudomonadota; Alphaproteobacteria. The record is from RNAcentral.
CUACUGGGGUAUCUAAUCCUGUUUGCUCCCCACACUUUCGCACCUCAGCGUCAGUUUCGAGCCAGUGAGCCGCCUUCGCCACUGGUGUUCCUCCGAAUAUCUACGAAUUUCACCUCUACACUCGGAAUUCCACUCACCUCUCUCGAACUCUAGAUUGAUAGUUUUAAAGGCAGUUCCAAGGUUGAGCCUUGGGAUUUCACCCCUAACUUUCCAAUCCGCCUACGUGCGCUUUACGCCCAGUUAUUCCGAACAACGCUAGCCCCCUUCGUAUUACCGCGGCUGCUGGCAC